This 309-nucleotide ribosomal RNA is filed under the name Cadophora sp. RNAcentral's name for it is "partial 18S ribosomal RNA". The stretch from base 25 to 271 matches the Rfam family "Group I catalytic intron". From Rfam's summary of the family: Group I catalytic introns are large self-splicing ribozymes. They catalyse their own excision from mRNA, tRNA and rRNA precursors in a wide range of organisms. The record is from RNAcentral. Lineage: Eukaryota; Fungi; Ascomycota; Leotiomycetes; Helotiales; Ploettnerulaceae.
GUUUCACUACGGAGACCUUGCAUAGCAGGCGACUCUAAAUAAGGUAUGCAAGUUGGCCACGCCAGCAACACAAUCGAACUGCGGGGACCUCCUAAAGCUCUCACUACUACCUGUCGCCGAAAGGCGGCAGCACAGUAAUAAUGUGCGAGAUGUACAAUGGAUAAUCCGCAGCGGCCCCCUACAGCUCUGCUACGGGUGUCGUUCACAGACUAAGUGAUUGUGGGUAGUUUAACUAUCUAAGAUAUAGUCGGCCUCGGGGCGAAAGCCCAGAGAGAAGCGUCCGUAGGUGAACCUGCGGAAGGAUCAUUA